GGGAGCUAAAUCCGAUAAAGGGAAGGAAAAAGUAGUUGAAUAGCCGUCGAAAUCGCUCGACAACAUCCAAGGUUUCGCUCGUUAGCUAUCGGAUUCGGGAUCAAAGAAGUCGAAGUCAUCCACACUAUCGAAGCCCCAUUUUGGUACAAAUUUUGGUUGAACUUUGAAAUGGCAUGUAUAGGACCAUCCUUUGUUGAAGGUCAUGUACCUUCCGGUUUGUGUAAACUUGGAUAGCCAUGCGAAAAUGGCUUAUAUACGUUUUUAGCAUAGAACUAUAAUCGUUUGUAUGUUGACCCUUAUGAGGUAUGGAAUUAUUUUGAAACGAUUAA
Molecule: long non-coding RNA, 329 nt
Organism: Gossypium arboreum
Lineage: Eukaryota; Viridiplantae; Streptophyta; Magnoliopsida; Malvales; Malvaceae
Exons: 2
Source: RefSeq, a predicted model, not a curated record